CCCGCAGGCGGCUUGAUAAGUUCCAGGUGAAAUCUCCUGGCUUAACUGGGAGAGGUCCUGGAAAACUAUCAGGCUUGAGGCAGAGAGAGGGAUGUGGAAUUCCCGGUGUAGUGGUGAAAUGCGUAGAUAUCGGGAGGAACACCAGUGGCGAAGGCGGCAUCCUGGCUCUGUCCUGACGCUCAGGGGCGAAAGCGUGGGGAGCAAACCGGAUUAGAUACCCGGGUAGUCCACGCUGUAAACGAUGAGUACUAGGUGUAGGGGGUAUCGACCCCCUCUGUGCCGAAGCCAACGCGAUAAGUACUCCGCCUGGGGACUACGGCCGCAAGGCUAAA
RNAcentral lists this ribosomal RNA (332 nucleotides) under uncultured bacterium. RNAcentral describes it as "bacterial SSU rRNA". It matches the Rfam family "Bacterial small subunit ribosomal RNA", at positions 568 to 898 of the family's 1533-position model. The record is from RNAcentral.